Molecule: ribosomal RNA, 249 nt
Filed under: uncultured bacterium
Lineage: Bacteria
Description: partial 16S ribosomal RNA
Rfam family: Bacterial small subunit ribosomal RNA
Source: RNAcentral
UACGUAGGGCGCAAGCGUUGUCCGGAAUUAUUGGGCGUAAAGAGCUCGUAGGUGGCUUGUCACGUCGGGUGUGAAAGCUUGGGGCUUAACUCCAGGUCUGCAUUCGAUACGGGCUGGCUAGAGGUAGGUAGGGGAGAACGGAAUUCCUGGUGUAGCGGUGAAAUGCGCAGAUAUCAGGAGGAACACCGGUGGCGAAGGCGGGUCUCUGGGCAGUAACUGACGCUGAGGAGCGAAAGCGUGGGAGCGAAC